AGAGUUUGAUCAUGGCUCAGAAUCAACGCUGGCGGCGUGCCUAACACAUGCAAGUCGAACGAGAAAGGGGAGCAAUCCCUGAGUAAAGUGGCGACCGGGUGAGUAACACGUGACUAACCUGCCUUCGAGUGGGGGAUAACCUCGGGAAACCGGGGGCUAAUACCGCAUAAUGCUUCGGGUUAAAGGAGCAAUUCGCUUGAAGAGGGGGUCGCGGCUGAUUAGCUAGUUGGCGGGGUAACGGCCCACCAAGGCGAAGAUCGGUAGCCGGCCUGAGAGGGCGCACGGCCACACUGGAACUGAAACACGGUCCAGACUCCUACGGGAGGCAGCAGUGGGGAAUUUUGCGCAAUGGGGGAAACCCUGACGCAGCAACGCCGCGUGGAGGAUGAAGUCCUUUGGGACGUAAACUCCUUUCGACCGGGACGAUUAUGACGGUACCGGUGGAAGAAGCCCCGGCUAACUUCGUGCCAGCAGCCGCGGUAAUACGAGGGGGGCGAGCGUUGUUCGGAAUUAUUGGGCGUAAAGGGCGCGUAGGCGGUGCGGUAAGUCACCUGUGAAACCUCUGGGCUUAACUCAGAGCCUGCAGGCGAAACUGCCGUGCUGGAGUGUGGGAGAGGUGCGUGGAAUUCCCGGUGUAGCGGUGAAAUGCGUAGAUAUCAAGUGGAACACCAGUGGCGAAGGCGAGUCCCUGGACAACUCCUGACACUGAGGCACGAAAGCUAGGGGAGCAAACAGGAUUAGAUACCCUAGUAGUCC
Molecule: ribosomal RNA, 756 nt
Filed under: uncultured bacterium
Lineage: Bacteria
Description: bacterial SSU rRNA
Rfam family: Bacterial small subunit ribosomal RNA
Source: RNAcentral